RNAcentral lists this transfer RNA (77 nucleotides) under Deinococcus soli (ex Cha et al. 2016). RNAcentral's name for it is "tRNA-Lys". It matches the Rfam family "tRNA". From Rfam's summary of the family: Transfer RNA (tRNA) molecules are approximately 80 nucleotides in length. Their secondary structure includes four short double-helical elements and three loops (D, anti-codon, and T loops). Lineage: Bacteria; Thermotogati; Deinococcota; Deinococci; Deinococcales; Deinococcaceae. The record is from RNAcentral.
GCCCUUGUAGCUCAGCAGGUCAGAGCAGCCGGCUUUUAACCGGCGAGUCGCAGGUUCGAAUCCUGCCGGGGGCACCA